GACGAACGCUGGCGGCGUGCUUAACACAUGCAAGUCGAACGGAAAGGCCCCUUUGGGGGUACUCGAGUGGCGAACGGGUGAGUAACACGUGAGUAACCUGCCCUUGACUUCGGGAUAACUUCAGGAAACUGGGGCUAAUACCGGAUAGGAAUCCUUGCUGCAUGGUGGGGGUUGGAAAGCUUCGGCGGUUUUGGAUGGACUCGCGGCUUAUCAGCUUGUUGGUGGGGUAGUGGCUUACCAAGGCUUUGACGGGUAGCCGGCCUGAGAGGGCGACCGGCCACAUUGGGACUGAGAUACGGCCCAGACUCCUACGGGAGACAGCAGUGGGGAAUAUUGCACAAUGGGCGGAAGCCUGAUGCAGCAACGCCGCGUGCGGGAUGACGGCCUUCGGGUUGUAAACCGCUUUCAGCAGGGGCGAAGCUUUUGUGACGGUACCUGCAGAAGAAGCACCGGCUAACUACGUG
RNAcentral lists this ribosomal RNA (464 nucleotides) under uncultured bacterium. Its description in RNAcentral is "partial 16S ribosomal RNA". It matches the Rfam family "Bacterial small subunit ribosomal RNA", at positions 28 to 507 of the family's 1533-position model. The record is from RNAcentral.